UACGGAGGGUGCGAGCGUUAAUCGGAAUUACUGGGCGUAAAGCGCGCGUAGGCGGCUUUGCAAGUCGGGUGUGAAAUCCCCAGGCUUAACCUGGGAACUGCAUUCGAGACUGCAUUGCUAGAGUAUGGGAGAGGGAAGUGGAAUUUCCGGUGUAGCGGUGAAAUGCGUAGAUAUCGGGAGGAACACCUGUGGCGAAAGCGGCUCUCUGGACCACAACUGACGCUGAGGCGCGAAAGCGAGGGGAGCAAACAGG
This 253-nucleotide ribosomal RNA is filed under the name uncultured bacterium. Its description in RNAcentral is "partial 16S ribosomal RNA". It matches the Rfam family "Bacterial small subunit ribosomal RNA", at positions 524 to 776 of the family's 1533-position model. The record is from RNAcentral.